CGGCCCGCACAAGCAGCGGAGCGUGUGGUUUAAUUCGAUGCUACACGAAGAACCUUACCAGGGUUUGACAUACAAGUGGUAGAGAAGCGAAAGCGGACCGACCCUUCGGGGAGCUUGUACAGGUGCUGCGUGGCUGUCGUCAGCUCGUGUCGUGAGAUGUUCGGUUAAGUCCGCUAACGAGCGCAACCCUCGCUGUGUGUUACAAGUGUCACACGGAACUGCCGGUCAUAAACCGGAGGAAGGUGGGAUGACGUCAAGUCAGCAUGGCCUUUAUAUCCUGGGCUACACACACGCUACAAUGGGAAGGGACAAUAGGUUGCGAAGCCGCGAGGUGGAGCCAAUCCAGCAAAACUUCCCUCAGUUCAGAUUGCAGGCUGCAACUCGCCUGCAUGAAGUUGGAGUUGCUAGUAAACGCAGGUCAGCCAUACUGCGUUGAAUACGUUCCCGGGGCUU
Molecule: ribosomal RNA, 453 nt
Filed under: uncultured Anaerolineaceae bacterium
Lineage: Bacteria; Bacillati; Chloroflexota; Anaerolineae; Anaerolineales; Anaerolineaceae
Description: bacterial SSU rRNA
Rfam family: Bacterial small subunit ribosomal RNA
Source: RNAcentral